CGCAAGCCUGACCGAGCGACGCCGCGUGCGCGAUGAAGGCCUUCGGGUGUAAAGCGCUGUCGAGGGGGAGGAAAGCCCGAAAGGGUCUGACCUAUCCCUGGAGGAAGCACGGGCUAAGUUCGUGCCAGCAGCCGCGGUAAGACGAACCGUGCGAACGUUGUUCGGAUUCACUGGGCUUAAAGGGCGCGUAGGCGGAUUAUCAAGUCAGGGGUGAAAGCCCUCGGCUCAACCGAGGAAUAGCCUCUGAUACUGGUAGUCUUGAGGGAGGUAGGGGCCUCUGGAACUUCUGGUGGAGCGGUGAAAUGCGUAGAUAUCAGAAGGAACGCCGGUGGCGAAAGCGAGGGGCUGGAUCUCAUCUGACGCUGAGGCGCGAAAGCUAGGGGAGCAAACGGGAUUAGAUACCCCGGUAGUCCUAGCCCUAAACGAUGGGUACUAGGUUGUGGACUUGACAUGGGUUCACAGCCGAAGCAAAAGUGUUAAGUACCCCGCCUGGGGAGUAUGGUCGCAAGGCUG
This 513-nucleotide ribosomal RNA is filed under the name uncultured Planctomycetota bacterium. Its description in RNAcentral is "bacterial SSU rRNA". It matches the Rfam family "Bacterial small subunit ribosomal RNA", at positions 376 to 896 of the family's 1533-position model. The record is from RNAcentral. Lineage: Bacteria; Pseudomonadati; Planctomycetota.